UUGCCAGCAUUCAGUUGGGCACCUUAAGAGACUGCCGGUGUUAAACCGGAGGAAGGUGGGGAUGACGUCAAGUCCUCAUGGCCUUUAUGCUUAGGGCUACACACGUGCUACAAUGGGUGGUACAAAGAGAAGCCAACUCGCGAGAGCGCGCCAAUCUCAAAAAGCCAUCCUCAGUUCGGAUUGGAGUCUGCAACUCGACUCCAUGAAGUUGGAAUCGCUAGUAAUCGCGGAUCAGCAUGCCGCGGUGAAUACGUUCCCGGGCCUU
Molecule: ribosomal RNA, 265 nt
Filed under: uncultured Smithella sp.
Lineage: Bacteria; Pseudomonadati; Thermodesulfobacteriota; Syntrophia; Syntrophales; Smithellaceae
Description: partial 16S ribosomal RNA
Rfam family: Bacterial small subunit ribosomal RNA
Source: RNAcentral